Molecule: ribosomal RNA, 96 nt
Filed under: uncultured bacterium
Lineage: Bacteria
Description: partial 16S ribosomal RNA
Rfam family: Bacterial small subunit ribosomal RNA
Source: RNAcentral
CCCUUGCACACACCGCCCGUCAAGCCAUGGAAGCUGGGUGUACCUGAAGUCGGCAACCGCAAGGAGCUGCCUAGGGUAAAAUCAGUGACUGGGGCU